Molecule: ribosomal RNA, 272 nt
Filed under: Clostridioides difficile
Lineage: Bacteria; Bacillati; Bacillota; Clostridia; Peptostreptococcales; Peptostreptococcaceae
Description: partial 23S ribosomal RNA
Rfam family: Bacterial large subunit ribosomal RNA
Source: RNAcentral
CAAAGGUUCUCUCAGUAGGGGCGAAAGUCGUACGGAGAGUGUAAAGGAAAAAGGGGGCUUGAUUGCAAGACAUACAGGUCGAGCAGGGAGGAAAAUCGGACUUGGUGAUCCGGUGGUUCUGCGUGAAAGGGCCACCGCCCAACGGAUAAAGGCUACCCGGGGAUAACAGGCUUAUCUCCCCCAAGAGUCCACAUCGACGGGGAGGUUUGGCACCUCGAUGUCGGCUCAUCACAUCCUGGGGCUGUAGUAGGUCCCAAGGGUUGGGCUGUUCG